Long non-coding RNA from Neoarius graeffei (lesser salmon catfish), 1430 nucleotides. RefSeq lists it as uncharacterized. NCBI's taxonomy places the organism in Eukaryota, Metazoa, Chordata, Actinopteri, Siluriformes, Ariidae. The transcript is spliced from 3 exons. The record is from RefSeq and is a predicted model, not a curated record.
GCAGGCAGCAGGAAGCAGCUCCUGCACAUUCUCUACAGUAACCAGCACGGUCUCUGUGUAAACAAAGUCCAACAGGAUCUCCAUGGUGGAGGCUGUGAGGCCCUGAAUAUCCACAAAGGACUUCCCUUUCUCUGCCAGCUAGAAGUGAGACAGAAGAGAGGACAGACUAUACAGUAUGUUAUAGCUACUGAUACCACAGCGUAGAUGAAUUCUUCAAUCUGACUAGUCAGAAGGCGAACCCAGAAAGACGAGAAAAAAAUGGUGAACUGCACUUAAACGGGAGCAAUGGACGACAAAAACAUUCCCAUGUGCGUGCAGAACAUUUUAUAUAUGAGGAGACGCUGCGUAAUAAACAAAAAUCUGAGACACUGGCGAAAAGCCUCUAUAGUAGCCAGUUAACUAAAUCCGCAAAUCUUUGGACUGUGGGAGGAAACUGGAGGAAACCCACACAGGCACAAGGAGAACAUGCAAACUCCACACUGAAAGGCCCCAGUCAACCAGCAGGUUCGAACCCAGAACCUGCUCGCUGUGAAGUGACAGAGCCAACCGCUGCACCACCUAAUGCUCAAUAUGUCAUUCAUUAAUAAAUCAAACACUAAUUGUGGGUAUGUUGCAUAAGUAAUAGAAUAACACCCUCCAGACCAAGCUGUGAUACAAAAAUAACCCACCCCUGGAGUGCAUUAUUUUCAUAUAACUGCACAGUCUGUUGUGUGUAAUUCCUGACAAGCAUUUCAAAGCCGAGCACAACAAUGAUUAGUUGUAGAAAUAAAAGGUAUUAUUUGUGUCACAAAAGGAAAAUGUGUGUCAUGAGAUGCACUAGGAAAUGGAUUACAGUGGAUCGGGUUUUGGAGAAUACAUCUGAGGUUUAAGAGGUAAGGAUUAGAGUAUGGUCACUUUCAAGGAAAGAAAACAAACACAUUUUAAAACUCUGGCCAAAUGCAUUACUAAUACCUAAAAACCUGAAGUACGACUCCUAAACCCUGCCUGUAUUGUUCUCCAAUGAAUGGCAAGUUACAAAAAAGUGGGUCAACUCGACAAAAUAUGAAGCUAUGAACCAUCACUGAGCUUUGCACGCUUUUAUACAGGCUACAUUCAUUCAUACUACAAAGACCCAUAAAUAGCUGAGAAAGGUCCGCUAAUGGUUUCCUCUAUUUUUCCCCCCCUCAUACACUUUGCAUGUCAUUUGCUAAACAAACACCACAAUGUAUCUAACAGCACGCAAACACAAAUGUGAAUAACGUACUUUUAUUGUAUUAGCAAGUUCAGUGUUAACGUAAAUAAGAUACUACCAUAAUCCAUCAACAAGUUCUUAUUCACUCCAUUACUCAGAGUCGUUCUUCACCAAGCUAAAAAUUCGACGUGAAAUAGCAGCAACAAAAAUUAAAAAAAAAUUCCCUGAGUAAAUAAAUAUUGAAACGUUUAAUACAGAU